GGUCUGUGAUGCCCUUAGAUG
This 21-nucleotide non-coding RNA is filed under the name Arabidopsis thaliana (thale cress). The record is from RNAcentral. Lineage: Eukaryota; Viridiplantae; Streptophyta; Magnoliopsida; Brassicales; Brassicaceae.